GACGAACGCUGGCGGCGUGCUUAACACAUGCAAGUCGAACGCGCCUGUCCUCUGGGUUUCUGGGGGGUGGGUGAGUGGCGAACGGGUGAGUCACACGUGAGUAACCUGCCCCCUUCUUCGGGAUAACGGUCUGAAAGGGCUGCUAAUACCGGGUAUUCACUGGUCUCCGCAUGGGGUCUGGUGGAAAGGUUUUUUUCUGGUGGGGGAUGGGCUCGCGGCCUAUCAGCUUGUUGGUGGGGUGAUGGCCCACCAAGGCUUUGACGGGUAGCCGGCCUGAGAGGGUGACCGGUCACAUAGGGACUGAGAUACGGCCCAGACUCCUACGGGAGGCAGCAGUGGGGAAUAUUGCACAAUGGGCGAAAGCCUGAUGCAGCGACGCCGCGUGAGGGAUGGAGGCCGUCGGGUUGUGAACCUCUUUCGCUCGUGGUCAAGCCGUGACGUGGGUCGUGGUGAGGGUAGUGGGUAAAGAAGCGCCGGCUAACUACGUG
This 488-nucleotide ribosomal RNA is filed under the name uncultured bacterium. RNAcentral describes it as "partial 16S ribosomal RNA". It matches the Rfam family "Bacterial small subunit ribosomal RNA", at positions 28 to 507 of the family's 1533-position model. The record is from RNAcentral.